GGAGCAAGUCAUGACCACUAGGGUGUCCUUUAAAAGAGAUGCUCUUUAAAUAUUUGUUCACUGUGUAUUUAGAGUAGAGGCUGAGAAUUUCAUGAGGGAAAGAGGAAAGGGACCAUCGCUCUGGAUAGUUAGACUGAAAUGGAGCUCAGGACCUCCUCUUAGCUCAGUUACUUUCUAGACAUUCGAGACAAACCGGUGAAUAAAACAAGCAGAGAUCGCUGCCUUCAUAGAGUUUAUAUUCUUGUGAACAGAAACAGACAAUAAACAAACAAAGAGUAAAUUAAGGAAUGCAUUAUAGCUGUUAAAGCAAUCUUAAGGGAAAUCCGAAGCUUCCACUGCAGCACCAUGCUUAGAAGUUCCUGUUUUCUUCAAUGUCAAAUAGCAGUGAAAACAAAAAAUCUCCCACUUCCAGUUCUAGGAGAAUAUUAGGCUGCACAGAUCCAGAGACUAACUUCUGGAGUUCCAGGGAAGUGCUGAACCAGAUGUCCUGGUGCAUGAGGCCUGGUUUCUCUACCAUAGGGUCCAAAAGAGUGAAGUCCAUCAAACAUGGAUGCAUAAGGUAGAGGAAAAGAGUGACACAGAAUCCGUUACAUGAUGCUGCUGAGCAAGAAUUUUCAGUUGAUGAGAAUUACAUAUUAAAUAUGAAGCCCUUCAGGAAUCUGUUUCUUUCUAUCAGUGCGGUCUACCUUGUUGAUUUUUCAACAAAAUUGAGACCAGGAUCAUCUAAAAAGUCUUCAAGUUUAAAAAAAUAUGGAAGAUUAUAGAGUAUGGAAAGAGCACUGGAGGAGGAGUCCAAUGUUUUGUGAUCUAGUAUUUU
Molecule: long non-coding RNA, 817 nt
Filed under: Equus caballus (horse)
Lineage: Eukaryota; Metazoa; Chordata; Mammalia; Perissodactyla; Equidae
Description: lncRNA (ENSECAG00000033576.3)
Source: RNAcentral